UACGAACCGUGCGAACGUUGUUCGGAAUCACUGGGCUUAAAGGGCGCGUAGGCGGGCCUCCCAGUCCGGGGUGAAAGCUUUCGGCUUAACCGGAAAAGUGCCUUGGAUACUGGAGGCCUGGAGGGGGGUAGGGGCAGCCGGAACUUCCGGUGGAGCGGUGAAAUGCGUUGAGAUCGGAAGGAACGCCCGUGGCGAAAGCGAGGUCCUGGACGUCUACUGACGCUGAGACGCGAAAGCUAGGGGAGCAAACGGG
RNAcentral lists this ribosomal RNA (253 nucleotides) under uncultured bacterium. RNAcentral describes it as "partial 16S ribosomal RNA". It matches the Rfam family "Bacterial small subunit ribosomal RNA", at positions 524 to 776 of the family's 1533-position model. The record is from RNAcentral.